UUACAAAAGGAAAAUACAGGGAAAGGGAUAAACCUCAUUGACUUGGAGAAAAUCAAGAGGUGUGAGCACAGCAUCAGAAAGCCCCCUGGCCCCAGACUGCACCCGCUU
Unclassified non-coding RNA from Cercocebus atys (sooty mangabey), 108 nucleotides. The record is from Ensembl. Lineage: Eukaryota; Metazoa; Chordata; Mammalia; Primates; Cercopithecidae.